This 465-nucleotide ribosomal RNA is filed under the name uncultured bacterium. RNAcentral describes it as "partial 16S ribosomal RNA". It matches the Rfam family "Bacterial small subunit ribosomal RNA", at positions 28 to 507 of the family's 1533-position model. The record is from RNAcentral.
GACGAACGCUGGCGGCGUGCUUAACACAUGCAAGUCGAACGGAAAGGCCCUGCUUGCAGGGUACUCGAGUGGCGAACGGGUGAGUAACACGUGGGUGAUCUGCCCUGCACUUCGGGAUAAGCCUGGGAAACUGGGUCUAAUACCGGAUAGGAGCCAUUUUUAGUGUGAUGGUUGGAAAGUUUUUUCGGUGUAGGAUGAGCUCGCGGCCUAUCAGCUUGUUGGUGGGGUAAUGGCCUACCAAGGCGGCGACGGGUAGCCGGCCUGAGAGGGUGGACGGCCACAUUGGGACUGAGAUACGGCCCAGACUCCUACGGGGGGGAGCAGGGGGGAAUAUUGCACCAUGGGCGCAAGCCUGAUGCAGCGACGCCGCGUGGGGGAUGACGGCCUUCGGGUUGUAAACUCCUUUCGCUAGGGACGAAGCUUUUUGUGACGGUACCUAGAUAAGAAGCACCGGCUAACUACGUG